Non-coding RNA from Schistosoma rodhaini, 48 nucleotides. Lineage: Eukaryota; Metazoa; Platyhelminthes; Trematoda; Strigeidida; Schistosomatidae. The record is from Rfam.
AUCCAGAUGACGAGUCCCAAAUAGGACGAAACACGCGUCAAACUGGAU